CACGGUUCAGAACGGGUGUUCUUAACUCCCGUCCUUUCCCAGGUGUUCAAACUCCCGUUUGAGCAUUUAAAGGAAGCAAUAGAGAUGCCCUUAGCUUUCCUUUCCUUGCAGAUGGGGAAACUGAGGCUCAGGGAGGCGCUGUAACUGGCCUAAGGUCAUGGGCAAGUUGGUGCAGGACCAAGAUGGGGGUCUCCUCUCCUGACUCCCUCAGGAGACAGUCAAGACUUUAUUCACACAGCUGCCCUCCACCCACAGGCGCUCAGGCACUUUCCCGGAGAGACACGACUCGGUGAUGGCAUCACGGUCUGGUCGCCAGAGUGUGGGUGCCCUCCUCUUCCCUGAGCUUCGGGGCUCUGGAGAGACAGGCCCCCCGCAGCCCACCCCCACGGCCCUCCCCGAGGGUUGGCAAAUCCUCUGCUGUCCGUCCGCUUGAGGCGGGAUCUCCUCUUAUUUGGGCCGGUGUGAGCUGUGCCGACGAGCUUGAUCCUCUCACGCACGCUUUCUGGGGCUGCCUUUCUAUCUGUGUGUAUUUCUUCAAAUUGCAAAAUAUAUCAUGCACAUGGAGUGUAAACUUGCGCUUGUUCUAAGGAAUAACACCAACUAGGUUAAGAAAUAGGAAGUCUGCAGCAACUUUGAAGCCGUCUGGGGACACCCCCCUCACUACCUCCUCCCCUCACCCCCCAAACUAACAAUUAUGCAAACUCUUACGACCAUCAUUCCCUUGCUUUUCUUUCUUUGUGGUUUUUACCUUAUUGUUUAGUUUUGCCUGCUUUUGGACUUUAUGUCAAUGGAAGCACACUUUAUCCCUCUGUGACUUGCUUCUUUCACUCGACAUUGGGUUUAUGAAUUCAUCCAUGUUGUUGUGUGAACCAUAAAUGGUUCAUCUUCAUCGCUCUCUAAUAUUCCGUCGUAUGAAUAUGCAACAAUUUAGUUAUCUGACCUACUGCUGAUAGGCGUUGUUUCCAGUUUUUGGAUAAUUUCACUAAUGCUGCUAUGAAUAUUCAUGUCUCUUGGGGCACAAGGGCAAGAGUUUCUCUAGCACGUAUCUAAGAGUCAAAUUUCUGACGUUUUCAACUUAUGGGGUAGUAACAAACUCUUUUUCAGACGGUUGUACCAACUUCAUCCCCGUCAGCAAUUU
Molecule: long non-coding RNA, 1138 nt
Filed under: Equus caballus (horse)
Lineage: Eukaryota; Metazoa; Chordata; Mammalia; Perissodactyla; Equidae
Description: lncRNA (ENSECAG00000058967.1)
Source: RNAcentral